This 473-nucleotide ribosomal RNA is filed under the name uncultured bacterium. RNAcentral's name for it is "bacterial SSU rRNA". It matches the Rfam family "Bacterial small subunit ribosomal RNA", at positions 355 to 825 of the family's 1533-position model. The record is from RNAcentral.
UGGGGAAUUGUUCACAAUGGGCGCAAGCCUGAUGACGCAACGCCGCGUGGGGGAUGAAGGUCUUCGGAUCGUAAACCCCUGUCGAAUGGGACGAAAGACUCGCGAGUGAAUACUUCGCGAGAGUGACGGUACCGUUAAAGGAAGCCACGGCUAACUCUGUGCCAGCAGCCGCGGUAAUACAGAGGUGGCAAGCGUUGUUCGGAAUUACUGGGCGUAAAGGGCGCGUAGGCGGCCCUCUAAGUCAGACGUGAAAUCCCCCGGCUUAACCUGGGAACUGCGUCUGAUACUGGAGGGCUUGAGUAUGGGAGAGGGAUGUAGAAUUCCAGGUGUAGCGGUGAAAUGCGUAGAUAUCUGGAGGAAUACCGGUGGCGAAGGCGGCAUCCUGGACCAUUACUGACGCUGAGGCGCGAAAGCUAGGGGAGCAAACGGGNUUAGAUACCCCGGUAGUCCCUGAGCGGGCUGGCAAGGCGCAU